GGAAUAUUGGGCAAUGGAGGCAACUCUGACCCAGCAACGCCGCGUGAGCGAUGAAGGUCUUCGGAUUGUAAAGCUCUUUAAGCGGGGACGAAGAAAGUGACUGUACCCGCAGAAUAAGCCUCGGCUAACUACGUGCCAGCAGCCGCGGUAAUACGUAGGAGGCAAGCGUUAUCCGGAAUGACUGGGCGUAAAGGGUGCGUAGGUGGUUUGGCAAGUUGGUAGCGUAAUCCCGGGGCUCAACCUCGGUGCUACUACCAAAACUGUUGAACUUGAGUGCAGGAGGGGUGAAUGGAAUUCCCAGUGUAGCGGUGGAAUGCGUAGAUAUUGGGAAGAACACCAGCGGCGAAGGCGAUUCACUGGACUGUAACUGACACUGAGGCACGAAAGCGUGGGGAGCAAACAGG
Molecule: ribosomal RNA, 404 nt
Filed under: uncultured bacterium
Lineage: Bacteria
Description: bacterial SSU rRNA
Rfam family: Bacterial small subunit ribosomal RNA
Source: RNAcentral